ACGGGGUGCAGCAGGCGCGAAACCUCCACAAUGCGCGAAAGCGUGAUGGGGUUAUCCCGAGUGCCGUCCGAUGAGGAUGGCUUUUCAUCGGUGUAAGGAUCCGAUGGAAUAAAGGGGGGGCAAGACUGGUGUCAGCCGCCGCGGUAAUACCAGCCCCCUGAGUGGUAAGGACGAUUAUUUGGCCUAAAGCGUUCGUAGCCGGCUUAUCAAGUCUUUUGUUAAAUCCAACGAUUCAAUCGUUGGGCCGCAAAAGAUACUGUUAUGCUAGAGGACGGGAGAGGUCGACGGUAGUCCAGGGGUAGGGGUGAAAUCCUAUAAUCCUUGGAGGACCACCAGUGGCGAAGGCGGUCGACUAGAACGUGCCUGACGGUGAGGGACGAAAGCUGGGGGAGCGAACCGGAUUAGAUACCCGGGUAGUCCCAGCCGUAAACGAUGCGGGCUAGGUGUUGGGGCAGCCACGAGCUGCUCCAGUGCCGCAGAGAAGUUGUUAAGCCCGCCGCCUGGGAGUACGCCGCAAGGC
Molecule: ribosomal RNA, 520 nt
Filed under: uncultured archaeon
Lineage: Archaea
Description: bacterial SSU rRNA
Rfam family: Archaeal small subunit ribosomal RNA
Source: RNAcentral